CUUGCCCUCUCUCUAGCCCAACUACCCAUACUCCCCACUAUUACCAAAAAUCCACUACCACACUCAAACCAAAACAUUAUACCUCUCCCCCAGUAUAGGCGAUAGAAAAGACCUCUGGCGCAAUAGAGACCAACCGUACCGUAAGGGAAAGAUGAAAUAACAAUGAAAACUGCAAGCAAAAGACAGUAAAGACUAACCCUUGUACCUCUUGCAUCAUGAUUUAGCAAGAACAACCAAGCAAAGCGAACUAAAGUUUGCCCCCCCGAAACCCAAGCGAGCUACCUGCAAGCAGCUAAAAUUGAGCGAACCCAUCUCUGUUGCAAAAGAGUGGGACGACUUGUUGGUAGAGGUGAAAAGCCAACCGAGCUGGGUGAUAGCUGGUUACCUGCCAAAUGAAUCUAAGUUCCCCCUUAACCCAUCCCCUAAGGACAACUACCCAACCCAUACAUGUUAAGGUUAAGAGCAACUCGAUGGGGGUACAGCCCCCUCGAAAAAGAAUACAACCUCCCCCAGCGGAUAAUAAUCUUCCCCUUCCCUAUAGUGGGCCUUAAAGCAGCCACCAACAAAAGAGUGCGUCAAAGCUCCACCACUAAAAAUCUACAACCCCAUUUGACUCCCUCACCCCAAGCAGGUCAACCUAUGACAAUAGGAGAAUUAAUGCUAAAAUGAGUAACUCGGAGCCUUCCUCACAGCGUAAACUUACAUCAACACAUUAUUAACAAAACCCAACUUAUACCCCAACUUUAACAAGAACAUGUAUUCAACCCAACCUGUUAAGCCAACUCAGGAACGCCCAUACAGAUGAUUAAAACCUGCAAAAGGAACUCGGCAAACCAAAGACCCGACUGUUUACCAAAAACAUAGCCUUCAGCAAACAACAAGUAUUGAAGGUGAUGCCUGCCCAGUGACCCUUAAAGUUCAACGGCCGCGGUAUCCUAACCGUGCAAAGGUAGCGCAAUCAAUUGUCCCAUAAAUUGAGACUUGUAUGAAUGGCCAAACGAGGUCUUAACUGUCUCCUGCAGGCAAUCAGUGAAAUUAGUAUUCCCGUGCAAAAACGAGAAUGUGCCCAUAAGACGAGAAGACCCUGUGGAACUUAAAAAUAACGACCACCCCUUCAACCAACACUAUCCACUGGACCCACCUACACAACCCCUUUGGUCGACAUUUUUCGGUUGGGGCGACCUUGGAGAAAAACAAAUCCUCCAAACCUAUAGACCACAACUCUUCACCAAGACCAACCCAUCAAAGUACUAAUAGUAAUUUAGACCCAAUACAAUUGAUCAAUGAACCAAGCUACCCCAGGGAUAACAGCGCAAUCUCCUCCAAGAGCCCAUAUCGACAAGGAGGUUUACGACCUCGAUGUUGGAUCAGGACAACCUAAUGGUGCAGCCGCUAUUAAGGGUUCGUUUGUUCAACGAUUAACAGUCCUACGUGAUCUGAGUUCAGACCGGAGCAAUCCAGGUCGGUUUCUAUCUAUGAACUGACUCCUCCUAGUACGAAAGGACCGGAGAAGUGGGGUCAAUACCUCAAAGCACACCCCAGCCCUAUAAGCAAUGAACUCAACUCAAUUGCCAAAAGCCUAACACAUCACACCUAACUCCUAGAAAAGGAUAACA
RNAcentral lists this ribosomal RNA (1616 nucleotides) under Pucrasia macrolopha. RNAcentral describes it as "16S ribosomal RNA". It matches the Rfam family "Bacterial large subunit ribosomal RNA". The record is from RNAcentral. Lineage: Eukaryota; Metazoa; Chordata; Aves; Galliformes; Phasianidae.